AAGGGCACCACAAGAACGCGUGGAGCAUGUGGCUUAAUUUGACUCAACGCGGGGAAACUUACCGGGUCCGGACACACUGAGGAUUGACAGGCGCUUGUAGCGUUACUUUUUACCUUCGGGUAUUAAGUUAAUGUUACUAUAAAAUAUGCUAGUCCUUUCAUGAUUGUGUGAUAGGUGGUGCAUGGCCGUUCUUAGUUCGUGGAGUGAUCUGUCUGCUUAAUUGCGUUUCAGAAAAUAGGUUCUUUGAGGUUAUUGUUGUUUGAACAUUUGUGAUUACGUUUCUCAACUUCGGUUGAUUACGUUUCACAUUGUUUAUCAACAUCCCUUGAACCUUGAAGGUAACGAACGUGACCGCAACCUCUUGUUGCCUCCCUUGUAUCUUUUUAGAUACACUGCUGCCUCGUGAUUUUUCCUUUUUCUUCGGGAAAAGGAUGUCAUGGGGAUUUGCAGAGUGGAGUUGCAAACUAGAGGGACCGCCGACCUUUUUAAAACGGAGGAAGGUUGCGGCAAUAACAGGUCUGUGAUGCCCUUAGAUGUUCCGGGCUGCACACGUGCUACAAUGAUUGUUGCAGUGAGCAUCUUACAAGUUCGCCUAGUAAAUAGCUUCGGUUAUUUUACAGGUGCGACACACCUACUUCGAAAGUAAGUAGGUAAUCAAUUCGAAGUAACAGUUUCCUUUUGCACAUAAAUGGUUCUAAUUUAGUAAUUGACUUCGGUCUUUUUUCUAAGUUAGAGCUGUGCUCCAUUCAUUCAUGGUGGGGACAGACCAUUGCAAUUGUUGGUCUCGGUCUUAACUAGGAAUGCCUUGUACGGGUCAUGGUUCAACAGACCACCCGGAAUAUGUCCCUGCCCUUUGUACACACCGCCCGUCGCUCUUACCGAUGGACUUCUCUGUGAGUUUGAGGGACUGGCUUUUUUGCUAUGGAAACUUAAACGAACAGUGUGGUCUAAAGGAAAGAGAAGUCGAACAAGGCA
Molecule: ribosomal RNA, 975 nt
Filed under: uncultured soil foraminiferan
Lineage: Eukaryota; Foraminifera
Description: SSU rRNA
Rfam family: Eukaryotic small subunit ribosomal RNA
Source: RNAcentral